AUUGAACGCUGGCGGCAUGCUUUACACAUGCAAGUCGAACGGUAACAGGGUGCUUGCACCGCUGACGAGUGGCGAACGGGUGAGUAAUGCGUCGGAACGUGCCGAGUAGUGGGGGAUAACGCAGCGAAAGUUGUGCUAAUACCGCAUACGUACUGAGGUAGAAAGUGGGGGACCUUCGGGCCUCACGCUAUUCGAGCGGCCGACGUCUGAUUAGCUAGUAGGGGGGGUAAAGGCUCACCUAGGCGACGAUCAGUAGCGGGUCUGAGAGGAUGAUCCGCCACACUGGGACUGAGACACGGCCCAGACUCCUACGGGAGGCAGCAGUGGGGAAUUUUUGACAAUGGGCGAAAGCCUGAUCCAGCCAUGCCGCGUGUCUGAAGAAGGCCUUCGGGUUGUAAAGGACUUUUGUCAGGGAGGAAAUCCCUAGUGCUAAUAACACUGGGGGAUGACAGUACCUGAAGAAUAAGCACCGGCUAACUAAGUGCCAGCCGCCGCGGUAA
RNAcentral lists this ribosomal RNA (500 nucleotides) under uncultured bacterium. RNAcentral's name for it is "partial 16S ribosomal RNA". It matches the Rfam family "Bacterial small subunit ribosomal RNA", at positions 30 to 523 of the family's 1533-position model. The record is from RNAcentral.